GGAGCGGCGGGCGCUUGGGGUGCCGGGCAGCGGCUACGACAUUAGGCACUAGGCACCCUCCACUCGCUGCCCCCCGCCCCUCUCGCUCGACUGUCCCAAACUUGCUCAUGCCCACCUGGCUCUUCUCUUGGCGGACCCCAGGAUAUCUGGACAGACGUGAAAAGUGUGGUGACGCGGAAGAAGUCGGUUUUUCCGAGAGCCAGUCAAGGUGGUGUCCCCUCACGCUCUCCACCUGCAGCGCCAGUUAAUUAAGCUUCAGGAUUCCAGACCCCGAACGCAGGAAGACUCGAACUCUGCCGCUCCAGUGUCUUUCUCAUCUCUGGAAGACUGCCUGGAAAGAAGGGCAUUGUGGGAACCACAGCAGCCUGUACUCCCACAGUUCUGUUUUAUGAAGAGGGUCAAGGUCAGUUUCUGGCUAUAAAUUGUAGACAUUGACCCCCAAACCAAGAGGAAGUACUAGCUUUAUAAUUUGUCCAGGAAACUCUAAGCUUAAUAUUUCAAAGAUGCGCAUGCUUGAUAACCUAUUAAACAUCAACCAGGUCAAUGAGUGUAUUCUGUGAUAACUACUUUGCAUAUUUCUACAAUGUAAUGUGCUUUAAAAAUUACUGAAUCAGGGGCCGGCUCCGUGGCUGAGUGGUUAAGUUCGCGCGCUCUGCUGCGGUGGCCCAUGGUUUGGAUCCUGGGCGCGGACGUGGCACCAUUCGUCAGGCCACGUUGAGGCGGCAUCCCACAUCCCACAACUAGAAGGACUUGCAACUAAGAUAUACAACUGUGUACAGGGGGGGUUUGGGGAGAUAAAGCAGAAAAAGAAAAAAAAAAAAGAUUGGCAACAGUUGUUAGCCCAGGUGUCAAUCCUUAAAAAAAAAGAUAAUAAAAAUAAAAAUUGCAGAAUCAAUGGAAAGGAAAGAUUAGAAUCAUUUAAGGAGAAUUUCAUGUUGCACCUCAGAAUUCAAAAUUCAUGUCAGUCAGCAGCGGAAGGUGAACCUGGCACAUAUAUCCUGGUUUACCUAAUAAAGUCUUAAAAAUGUAGCAAGGCUAUUAGUUUAAAUAAACUUACACAUACAUACAGUUACCUAGGAAUGCUUGAAAGAUCGGUGUUUAGUUUUCUUGGCUCAAUCAUUCUGUCAUGUGUACAGUUUAUUUGCUCCUCCAACUGUAUGAGCUGGAGAAUGUAUAAAUUAUGCUAUGGUUUUUUGCAGAGGAAACCAAGUCAUCUCCAGAGUCACAUGACUUGAGUGAUAUAGAUUCAAUAGUUUUAAGCUACAAACACUUUCUCUGUUAUGCGUAGCCAUGUGGUUCCUUUAUUGCAGAGCUUCCCAAACACUUUUGGUCAUGACACACCAAAAACUGUCUUAUUUACAUAGCAAACUGAAGUAAAUGGAAGAGGGUGCUCACAGUGAUGGGGCCAGGAACCCCAGCUUCCCCAGUCUCCUCCCCACAAGCCUGAGAGCUAAGAACCUUAGCAUUCUGGUACACUUACAAUCUAUUCAUAGGCACAUACUGCUGAUGGGAAUGGUGCAGGUAACAUGGAAAACAGUAUGGAGAAUCCUCAAAAAAUUAAGAAUAGAACUACUAUAUGAUCCAGCUAUUCCACUUCUGGGUAUUUAUCAAAAAACACGAAAACAUGAAUGCAAAAAGAUAUUUGCACCCAUGUUCAUUGCAGCAUUAUUCACAAUAGCCAAGACUUCAAACGACCUAAGUGCCCACCAGAGGAUGAAUGGGUAAAGAAGGUGUGGUAUAUAUACACGAUAGAAUACUACUCAGCCAUAACAAAGAUGAUAUCUUGCCAUUUGCAACAACAUGGAUGGACCUUGAGGGUAUUAUGCUAAGUGAAAUAAACCUGAUGGGGAAAGUAAAAUACCACAUGAUUUUGCUCAUAAGUGGAAGAUAAAAAUAACAACAACAACAAACAAACACAUAGAUAUAGAGAUUAGAUUGGUGGUUACCAGAGGAGAAGGUGGGGAUGGAAGAGGGCAAAAGGAGUAAUAGGGUACGCGUUUAUGGUGAUGGAUGGUAAUUAGCUUUUGGGUGGUGAACAUGAUGUAGUCUACACAGAGAUCAAAAUAUAUUGGUGUACACCUGAAAUUUAUAUAAUGUUAUAGACCAAUGUUACUUCAAUAAAAAACUAAAAUGCUCAAAAAAAAAAAAAAAAAAGAGAGAGAGAGAGAGAGAUAACCAAAGAAGAAAACAGUAAUCUAAUAGAGUGGGGAAGGGAGGGACUUUGGAAAAAGAACUAGGUCUGAAUCUUGGGGCAUCUUUUAAGUAUGUCUAUAAUCUUAGGCAUGCUACCCAGCCACUUGGAGUCUCCACAUUAUCAUCUGCAAAACAGGGAUAAUUAUACUUACCUUGCUGUAAUAUUUUAAGAUUAGAAAUAGCGUAUGUGAAUAGCACACCUAACUCAGGACACGGCACAUAAUUAACUGCUAAUUUGCUAAGUGACUUUCCCAGUUUAUGGAGCAAGACAUAGAGCCUGAAUUAAAAUUCUACAUCUAACUCCCAGCUCAGUGUAUUGUUCACGCGUUGUGAUAUCUCAGAUAUUUUAAAAUAUUUUGACCCCUCGUGUUAAGGAUUGAAUGUUUGUGUCCCUCCCAAAUUCAUCUGCUGAAACCCUCCCCCAUAAUGUGGUGGUAUUAGGAAGUGGGGCCUCUAGGAGAUAAUGAGGUUUAGGUGAGAUGGUGAGAGUGGAGCCCCCAUCAUGGAAUGAGUGUCCUUAUAAGGGGGGCAAGAGACCAGACCUCUCUCUCUUCACCAUGUGAGGAUGCAGCAAGAAGGCAGCUAUCUGCAAACCAGGAAGAGGGCUCUCACCAGAGAUCAAAUUUGCCGGCACCCUGAUCUUAGACUUCCCAGCCUCCAGCACUGUAAGAAAUAAAUGCUUGUUGCUUAAGCCACCCAGUCUACGGCAUUUUGUCAUAGUGACCCGAGCUGACUAAGACACUUGACUUCUGUAUACUUGAGUCCACUAAUGUUGUUGUAGCUCCCCACUUUAUUGUUGCAAGUAAGCCUGG
RNAcentral lists this long non-coding RNA (3005 nucleotides) under Equus caballus (horse). RNAcentral describes it as "lncRNA (ENSECAG00000055206.1)". Lineage: Eukaryota; Metazoa; Chordata; Mammalia; Perissodactyla; Equidae. The record is from RNAcentral.